Molecule: ribosomal RNA, 437 nt
Filed under: uncultured Anaplasma sp.
Lineage: Bacteria; Pseudomonadati; Pseudomonadota; Alphaproteobacteria; Rickettsiales; Anaplasmataceae
Description: bacterial SSU rRNA
Rfam family: Bacterial small subunit ribosomal RNA
Source: RNAcentral
AACGAAUGCUGGCGGCAAGCCUAACACACGCAAGUCGAACGGGUUACAUUUGUAGCUUGCUACAAAUGUAAUUAGUGGCAGACGGGUGAGUAAUGCAUAGGGAUCUACCUAGUAGUAUGGGAUAGCCACUAGAAAUGGUGGGUAAUACUGUAUAAUCCCCGCGGGGGAAAGAUUUAUCGCUAUUAGAUGAGCCUAUGUCAGAUUAGCUAGUUGGUGGGGUAAUGGCCUACCAAGGCGGUGAUCUGUAGCUGGUCUGAGAGGAUGAUCAGCCACACUGGAACUGAGACACGGUCCAGACUCCUACGGGAGGCAGCAGUGGGGAAUAUUGGACAAUGGGCGCAAGCCUGAUCCAGCUAUGCCGCGUGAGUGAGGAAGGCCUUAGGGUUGUAAAACUCUUUCAGUAGGGAAGAUAAUGACGGUACCUACAGAAGAAGUCC